GAUGAAGAACGCAGCGAAAUGCGAUAACUAAUGUGAAUUGCAGAAUUCAGUGAAUCAUCGAGUCUUUGAACGCACAUUGCGCCCCCUGGUAUUCCGGGGGGCAUGCCUGUCCGAGCGUCAUUGCUGCCCUCAAGCACGGCUUGUGUGUUGGGCUCCGUCCCCCCGGGGACGGGCCCGAAAGGCAGCGGCGGCACCGAGUCCGGUCCUCGAGCGUAUGGGGCUUUGUCACCCGCUCUGUAGGCCCGGCCGGCGCCAGCCGACAACCCAUCAUCCUUUUCAGGUUGACCUCGGAUCAGGUAGGGAUACCCGCUGAACUUAAGCAGAUCAAUAAGCGGAGGA
RNAcentral lists this unclassified non-coding RNA (339 nucleotides) under soil metagenome. RNAcentral's name for it is "partial contains 5.8S ribosomal RNA, internal transcribed spacer 2, and large subunit ribosomal RNA". The stretch from base 1 to 120 matches the Rfam family "5.8S ribosomal RNA", at positions 35 to 154 of the family's 154-position model. The record is from RNAcentral.